This 500-nucleotide ribosomal RNA is filed under the name uncultured bacterium. RNAcentral describes it as "bacterial SSU rRNA". It matches the Rfam family "Bacterial small subunit ribosomal RNA", at positions 26 to 518 of the family's 1533-position model. The record is from RNAcentral.
AGGACGAACGCUGGCGGCGUGCUUAACACAUGCAAGUCGAACGGGGAUUAGUUGAUUGAGAGCUUCGGCAGGAAAUUGAUAAUUCGAGUGGCGGACGGGUGAGUAACGCGUGAGCAACCUGUCCCAGACAGGGGGAUAACACUUGGAAACAGGUGCUAAUACCGCAUAAGACCACGGGAUCACAUGGGUUCUGGGGUAAAAGGAGCAAUCCGGUUUGGGGUGGGCUCGCGUCCGAUUAGCCAGUUGGCGGGGUAACGGCCCACCAAAGCGACGAUCGGUAGCCGACCUGAGAGGGUGAACGGCCACAUUGGAACUGAGAGACGGUCCAAACUCCUACGGGAGGCAGCAGUGGGGAAUAUUGGGCAAUGGGCGAAAGCCCCUGACCCAGCAACGCCGCGUGAGUGAAGAAGGCCUUCGGGUUGUAAAGCUCUGUUAUAGUUGACGAAGGAAGUGACGGUAGGCUAUAAGGAAGCCCCGGCUAACUACGUGCCAGCCGCCGC